Molecule: ribosomal RNA, 253 nt
Filed under: uncultured bacterium
Lineage: Bacteria
Description: partial 16S ribosomal RNA
Rfam family: Bacterial small subunit ribosomal RNA
Source: RNAcentral
UACGAAGGUGGCAAGCGUUGUUCGGAUUUACUGGGCGUACAGGGAGCGUAGGCGGUUGGAUAAGCCCUCCGUGAAAUCUCCAGGCUUAACCUGGGAAUUGCAUUGAGGACUGGUGUGCUCGAGUGCGGCAGAGGGGGGUGGAAUUCCACGUGUAGCAGUGAAAUGCGUAGAGAUGUGGAGGAACACCGAUGGCGAAGGCAGCCCCCUGGGCCGACACUGACGCUCAUGCACGAAAGCGUGGGGAGCAAACAGG